GCUGACACGGGGCAGGGUGUGGCUGAACGUGACCAUGUUCUCCUUGCCCAUGGGGCUGCGUGGGGCCAGC
This is a microRNA precursor of Mustela putorius furo (domestic ferret), 70 nucleotides long. The record is from Ensembl. Lineage: Eukaryota; Metazoa; Chordata; Mammalia; Carnivora; Mustelidae.